UUAGGUUGGUCCAAAAGUAAUUGAAGUUUUUGCCAUUGAAAGUAAUGGCAAAAUUUGCAAUUACUUUUGCACCAACCUA
Molecule: microRNA precursor, 79 nt
Filed under: Nomascus leucogenys (northern white-cheeked gibbon)
Lineage: Eukaryota; Metazoa; Chordata; Mammalia; Primates; Hylobatidae
Description: miRNA (ENSNLEG00000036114.1)
Source: RNAcentral